Molecule: ribosomal RNA, 253 nt
Filed under: uncultured bacterium
Lineage: Bacteria
Description: partial 16S ribosomal RNA
Rfam family: Bacterial small subunit ribosomal RNA
Source: RNAcentral
UACGUAGGGUGCGAGCGUUGUCCGGAAUUAUUGGGCGUAAAGAGCUCGUAGGCGGUCUGUCGCGUCGGAUGUGAAAACCCAGGGCUCAACCCUGGGCCUGCAUUCGAUACGGGCAGACUAGAGUUCGGUAGGGGAGACUGGAAUUCCUGGUGUAGCGGUGAAAUGCGCAGAUAUCAGGAGGAACACCGGUGGCGAAGGCGGGUCUCUGGGCCGAAACUGACGCUGAGGAGCGAAAGCGUGGGGAGCGAACAGG